Balaenoptera musculus (blue whale) is the source of this 1967-nucleotide RNA transcript. It is a transcript of the gene named cytochrome c oxidase assembly factor 8, with no coding region annotated. The record is from RefSeq and is a predicted model, not a curated record. The transcript has 6 exons. Lineage: Eukaryota; Metazoa; Chordata; Mammalia; Artiodactyla; Balaenopteridae.
GGUCGGCCGAGUCGUCCCCUCCCGCGGGCUUUGCGACCGUGCCGUAAGGCAGCCCCUCGCGCCGUCGCGACUCCGCUGUGCGUCGCGGGGGCCGCCGGACGGCAGCCAUGGCGGCCUUGCGACCCCCGAGGAGGGCCCUGCUUCGUCUCUGCCGCGCCUUCUCCAGCGGCGGCUGCCAGCUCGCCCCCGAGCGCGGCGGUGAGCGCAGGGAUGCCGCGCCGAGCCGGGUCUCAAGAUUCUGCCCUCCAAGAAAAUCUUGCCAUGAUUGGAUAGGACCCCCAGAUAAAUAUUCAAACCUUCGACCUGUUCACUUUUAUAUCCCUGAAAAUGAAUCACCAUUGGAACAAAAGUUAAGAGAAUUAAGACAAGAAACACAAGAAUGGAACCAACAGUUCUGGGCAAACCAGAAUUUGACUUUUCUUAAGGAAAAAGAAAAAUUUAUUGACUCAAGACUAAAAGCCAAAGGCCUGGAACUGAGAGCUGAAUCAGGUCAAAAAGCAACAUUGAAUGCAGAAGAAAUGGCUGACUUUUACAAGCAAUUUUUAAGUAAAAAUUUUCAGAAGCACAUGUAUUACAACAGGUAGAAGUUGCUAUCAACUUAGUUUUCGCACUUUUAAAUAAAAUUGACAGCUUAAAGUUGUUUGCGUGGCAUCCCUAAAGCAGCUUGCACCCCUAGUGCGUAGACAGUGGGUUCUACACAGCACUUCCCACUGGAAGGAACCCGGACUCCACUGAGAAGCACAGUCUGGGGCAGGAGCAGCACAAGAGGAGUCGAGACGUCUUGUGUUUGAAAGUGAGGAAGCUCGGAGCCCAGCGGGGUCAUGUGAGAACAGCCCAGAAGGCGACUCGAGGGGCUCCCGUAGGCCAGAGACGGAGCCAUUGCAGCCACACCAAGAAAGUGACGGCUGUGGAUUAAAAAUCUAUCACAUAUGCUAACAUCUUUGCGAUCAUAAUGACACUGAGUGGCCCACAGGCACCGCGGGGUAUUGCUAGGCAGCCAACCCAUUGUUCUGAAAAUCGAUACGUGAAGGAGCGCCUCCAAAGAACACUCACCUCUCCUGCCUUUCCUGCCCCGACUGGAUUCCAGGGUAGCCAAACGAAGGAGCAUUUUUCUUGGUAGAAGAAUGACAGCUAACGCAGGAGUGCUGGAGUUAGAUCUGGGCCUGGUCACCCCACAGCUGCUAAACCGCUGGGCAGCAAGGCUGAUGGGGACUUCAUAAUGGAUAGGUCGGGCUCAUUGCGCCUGAACCCCGGUACCUCUUCACACUGUGCAGAGUGGGGCAGCGGCCUGUGUGCAUCUCUGUGAGGUGCGGCAGGAGGUACCGAGCACGGCCAGGGAGGUGUCCUCACCAAAACAAGGGAACUGCAGUCCAGCAGGCCUCCGGAUCUAAUACCAGGUUACAGGAAAAAGAUAAAAGGGUGUGUUGGGGGGCGUGGAGAGAGCGGUUCACAGACCAUGCUUAAAUCAUAGCCUGAAGAUACAGUCCCAGAAGUUGGAAGUUCUACAAGACAGACACGGUCCAGUUUCAACCAGCACCUAGGAUUUAAAAAAAAAAGGAGGGGGAACUAAUAGAAUAAAAGAGACUUCAUGCAGUGUGUAGACAUUGUUUGGAUCCUAAUACAGACAAACCACCUAAAAAAAGGGACUGGUACAGGCGUAAUUUUGCCAUCACCUUCUUCAUGGGAAAAGUGGCCCUGGAGAGGAUUUGGAACAAGCUUAGACUGAAACGAAAGAAGACCAUCAACUAGGAGCCCACCCUGACCCACCCGCCCAGCGUCUAAGUUGCCACGAGAAGCAGCUGCUUAUAGGAGCUCGUUUUACGAGAGCUCGAAGACCUGUGUGUGCAGGGCAGGCUGGGAGGACGCGGGUCCUGGUGCGCUGUGGCCCAGGUGGCUCCGUCCUGACUGUGGAUUCCAGGCUGGCUCUUGGUCAUGGAAGUGAUGUUAAAUAAAACCCAAGCACUGUG